CCCUUGGAUGUUCUGGGCCGCACGCGCGCUACACUGAUGCAUUCAACGAGUCUAAAACCUGCUCUGAUAGGGGUGGGCAAUCUUUUGAAUGUGCAUCGUGAUUGGGAUAGAUGAUUGCAAUUUUUCAUCUUCAACGAGGAAUGCCUAGUAAACGCAAGUCAUCAGCUUGCAUUGAUUACGUCCCUGCCCUUUGUACACACCGCCCGUCGCUCCUACCGAUUGAAUGAUCCGAUGAAUAUCAUAGACUGAGAGUAUAAGCAGGUUCGCCUGUCUUUGCUUCUCGGGAAGUGAAGUAAAUCUUAUCAUUUAGAGGAAGGAGAAGUCGUAACA
RNAcentral lists this ribosomal RNA (330 nucleotides) under uncultured eukaryote. Its description in RNAcentral is "partial 18S ribosomal RNA". It matches the Rfam family "Eukaryotic small subunit ribosomal RNA", at positions 1470 to 1796 of the family's 1831-position model. The record is from RNAcentral.